This 520-nucleotide ribosomal RNA is filed under the name uncultured bacterium. RNAcentral's name for it is "bacterial SSU rRNA". It matches the Rfam family "Bacterial small subunit ribosomal RNA", at positions 120 to 674 of the family's 1533-position model. The record is from RNAcentral.
GGGAACGUACCCUUCGGUUCGGAAUAACUCAGGGAAACUUGAGCUAAUACCGGAUACGCCCUUUUGGGGAAAGGUUUACUGCCGAAGGAUCGGCCCGCGUCUGAUUAGCUUGUUGGUGGGGUAACGGCCUACCAAGGCGACGAUCAGUAGCUGGUCUGAGAGGAUGAUCAGCCACACUGGGACUGAGACACGGCCCAGACUCCUACGGGAGGCAGCAGUGGGGAAUAUUGGACAAUGGGCGCAAGCCUGAUCCAGCCAUGCCGCGUGAGUGAUGAAGGCCUUAGGGUUGUAAAGCUCUUUUGUCCGGGACGAUAAUGACGGUACCGGAAGAAUAAGCCCCGGCUAACUUCGUGCCAGCAGCCGCGGUAAUACGAAGGGGGCUAGCGUUGCUCGGAAUCACUGGGCGUAAAGGGCGCGUGGGCGGCCGAUUAAGUCGGGGGUGAAAGCCUGUGGCUCAACCACAGAAUUGCCUUCGAUACUGGUUGGCUUGAGACCGGAAGAGGACAGCGGAACUGCGAGU